UACGUAGGGGGCGAGCGUUGUCCGGAGUUACUGGGCGUAAAGCGCGCGCAGGCGGCUAUCCAAGUCAGUGGUGAAAGCCCGGAGCUCAACUCCGGAACUGCCAUUGAAACUGUUUAGCUUGAGUAUGAGAGAGGUGAGUGGAAUUCCCAGUGUAGAGGUGAAAUUCGUAGAUAUUGGGAAGAACACCGGUGGCGAAGGCGGCUCACUGGCUCAUUACUGACGCUCAGGCGCGACAGCGUGGGGAUCAAACAGG
Molecule: ribosomal RNA, 253 nt
Filed under: uncultured bacterium
Lineage: Bacteria
Description: partial 16S ribosomal RNA
Rfam family: Bacterial small subunit ribosomal RNA
Source: RNAcentral